CACUUCAGUAUCUGCAUCAGUGACCACAUCUGAAGGGUUGUAGUUCUCCUUGGAAGCCAAUGCCAUCUCAUCACAUACUCGACUUUUGUUUAUCUGUUCUGUCAGUUUCUGCUCAUUUUCUGAUUUAACUGAUGCAACAGUAGGUGCUGGACUUGUCACAUGUUGAGGUGCUGGACUUGUCACAUGUUGAGAGAGCUCUCUGUAGUUUCCACAGAGUGUAAAUAUGUUGCGGAUCCUGACAAGCCUAUCAUCUGGUCCCCCCUUGCAAUCAUCUUCCCCUGGA
This 283-nucleotide long non-coding RNA is filed under the name Prunus persica (peach). Its description in RNAcentral is "long non-coding RNA (PPER_LNC000107)". The record is from RNAcentral. Lineage: Eukaryota; Viridiplantae; Streptophyta; Magnoliopsida; Rosales; Rosaceae.